CUCUGGUAUUGAUUGGUGCUUGCAUCAUGAUUUACAUUUGAGUGAGUGGCGAACUGGUGAGUAACACGUGGGAAACCUGCCCAGAAGCGGGGGAUAACACCUGGAAACAGAUGCUAAUACCGCAUAACAACUUGGACCGCAUGGUCCGAGUUUGAAAGAUGGCUUCGGCUAUCACUUUUGGAUGGUCCCGCGGCGUAUUAGCUAGAUGGUGGGGUAACGGCUCACCAUGGCAAUGAUACGUAGCCGACCUGAGAGGGUAAUCGGCCACAUUGGGACUGAGACACGGCCCAAACUCCUACGGGAGGCAGCAGUAGGGAAUCUUCCACAAUGGACGAAAGUCUGAUGGAGCAACGCCGCGUGAGUGAAGAAGGGUUUCGGCUCGUAAAACUCUGUUGUUAAAGAAGAACAUAUCUGAGAGUAACUGUUCAGGUAUUGACGGUAUUUAACCAGAAAGCCACGGCUAACUACGUGCCAGCAGCCGCGGUAAUACGUAGGUGGCAAGCGUUGUCCGGAUUUAUUGGGCGUAAAGCGAGCGCAGGCGGUUUUUUAAGUCUGAUGUGAAAGCCUUCGGCUCAACCGAAGAAGUGCAUCGGAAACUGGGAAACUUGAGUGCAGAAGAGGACAGUGGAACUCCAUGUGUAGCGGUGAAAUGCGUAGAUAUAUGGAAGAAC
RNAcentral lists this ribosomal RNA (671 nucleotides) under Lactiplantibacillus pentosus. RNAcentral describes it as "bacterial SSU rRNA". It matches the Rfam family "Bacterial small subunit ribosomal RNA", at positions 70 to 707 of the family's 1533-position model. Lineage: Bacteria; Bacillati; Bacillota; Bacilli; Lactobacillales; Lactobacillaceae. The record is from RNAcentral.